UAAUUUAANUGCACUAAUCUGCCAAAAUAGCUAUAAUUAUUAAUGAUAUUCUUUUUUUAAAAUAUUAUUAUUUUAAUAUUUGGUCCUUUCGUACUAAAAUAUUAUAAUUAAUUAAAGAUAGAAACCAACCUGGCUUACGCCGGUUUGAACUCAGAUCAUGUAAGAAUUUAAAAGUCGAACAGACUUAAAAUUUGAACGGCUACACCCAAAAUUAUAUCUUAAUCCAACAUCGAGGUCGCAAUCUUUUUUAUCGAUAUGAACUCUCCAAAAAAAUUACGCUGUUAUCCCUAAAGUAACUUAAAUUUUUAAUCAUUAUUAAUGGAUCAAUAACUCAUAAAUUAAUGGUUUUUAAAAUUAAAAGUUUUUUAAAUUUUAAUAUCACCCCAAUAAAAUAUUUUAAUUUAUUAAAAUUAAAUUAAUCUUUAAAAUUAAAAUAAAUAAAAUAUAAAGAUUUAUAGGGUCUUCUCGUCUUUUAAAUAAAUUUUAGCUUUUUGACUAAAAAGAUAAAAUUCUAUAAAAAAUUAAAAUGAAACAGUUAAUACUUCGUCCAACCAUUCAUUUCAGC
This 565-nucleotide ribosomal RNA is filed under the name Drosophila tripunctata. RNAcentral describes it as "partial 16S ribosomal RNA". Lineage: Eukaryota; Metazoa; Arthropoda; Insecta; Diptera; Drosophilidae. The record is from RNAcentral.